Long non-coding RNA from Salvia miltiorrhiza (redroot sage), 1449 nucleotides. RefSeq lists it as uncharacterized. The record is from RefSeq and is a predicted model, not a curated record. NCBI's taxonomy places the organism in Eukaryota, Viridiplantae, Streptophyta, Magnoliopsida, Lamiales, Lamiaceae. The transcript has 3 exons.
UUUGUAAUUAGUUCAUACUUUUGUUUUUGUUUUGCAGAAUUAGAAGUUAGUGCUUGCUGUGAUUACCACUGUGAAAAUGUGUGGCUAAUGUAAAAAUUCAUUUAUCUCAAGAUGGCAGCAGGUAAAAAUAUAGUGAUUUUAGUGUCAAGAUACUAUAAUCUAUAGCCCAUCAAAUGUAAUAUAGUUGGAUUCAUCUUUCUGCUUCGUCUCCUGCUAGAUUUGUAUUGUUCAACACCAAUAUAUUUGGUGAAUGUUAUAGGCAGUUUUCUUUGGUAGGAAAGAAAAUUGGGCGAUCUUUGUCCUACUGCAUACUGCUAAAAAUAAGUCAUUUUUAUUUUUAUUCUUGUAAUAGGAGAAAUAAAUAUUUUAAAAAAGAUCACAGUGAUGGUGAACUAGAACCUAAUUUUUUAUUGCCUCAGUCAUUAAUUAGUAUACAUUAGGCCAACAGAUGAACACAAUAACAAAUACCAUGUGUUUGGUAGCAUGAAUUAAGCCAUAUAAGAAAGGUAUCUUGGGUUAUUCAAGUGUUUGAUAGCUAGGAUAAGUAACACGCGAAGCCCGGGAAUAAGGCUCGGCCCGAUCCGUCGGGCCCGGGCUAAAAUCACUGUUUCACCUUUCUUGCGAUCUUACCGAUCCGUCGCUCACCCCCGGUUACAAAUUCCAUGCUUCUACAGUGCAUCAGAUUAUUUUUUUGGAUUACAAGUUUACCCUCCAAUUCCAAUUCAAAAAUUGUGAUUUUUUGGUGAUGCGGUCAAUCUGGACGAACUCUUGCUGCUGAAAACGAUGCUAUUUCAUCGACGAAUCUCCGUUAUAGACCAUUGCCCAACAACACCGGAGUUUUGUGAAAGGUUGAGAAGGAAUAAUCCAUCUGGAUCCAUAGUGAAAUCACAUAGAAGUCUUGAAGAAUUUUCCAAGUUCAGAAAUUCCUACCCAAGCGAAUAAUCUGCAAAAUACGUAGCUCUAUCUGCACAAGUGAAGUUCAGAUUUUGGAUCUCUUGGUUCAGGUUCGCUUCUCUUCAGAAACGCUUCUCUGAAGGUGCUCUGCUCUGCUCUCUUCAAUUUCUAGGCCAAAAGCUUCAGCUCAAGAACUUGGGACACAAGUAGUAGGAGAGGCCUGUGCCGCUGCAUCGCAACAAGAAGCCAUGGCUGUUCCUUUGCUGGACAAGAAGGUUGUGAAGAAGCGUGUCACGAAGUUUAAGAGGCACCAUAGUGACAGAUAUGCAUGUCUGAAGGUAUGCAUGCUGCCAUUCUUUGAUUGUAUUCGUUUUUGUAAUGCCAAGUUCGUCACAAGGUGAAUAUGAAUAUUCUAAAAAUGGGGCCAAUUACGGUUCUGUAUUCUGUAAAAUGAUAUAAAUGUCAUUGCAUUGUCUCUGAGAUGAGGAUAAUGGAUGCAACCUAUUAGCUGAAAUUUCUGCUAGCAAGGUGCUAUUGGUUUAGUUUUAGACCUUA